Molecule: ribosomal RNA, 497 nt
Filed under: uncultured bacterium
Lineage: Bacteria
Description: partial 16S ribosomal RNA
Rfam family: Bacterial small subunit ribosomal RNA
Source: RNAcentral
GAUGAACGCUGGCGGCGUGCCUAAUACAUGCAAGUCGAGCGAACAGACGAGAAGCUUGCUUCUCUGACGUUAGCGGCGGACGGGUGAGUAACACGUGGAUAACCUACCUAUAAGACUGGGAUAACUUCGGGAAACCGGAGCUAAUACCGUAUAAUAUUUUGAACCGCAUGGUUCAAAAGUGAAAGACGGUCUUGCUGUCACUUAUAGAUGGAUCCGCGCUGCAUUAGCUAGUUGGUAAGGUAACGGCUUACCAAGGCAACGAUGCAUAGCCGACCUGAGAGGGUGAUCGGCCACAUUGGAACUGAGACACGGUCAAGACUCCUACGGGAGGCAGCAGUAGGGAAUCUUCCGCAAUGGGCGAAAGCCUGACGGAGCAACGCCGCGUGAGUGAUGAAGGUCUUCGGAUCGUAAAACUCUGUUAUUAGGGAAGAACAUAUGUGUAAGUAACUGUGCACAUCUUGACGGUACCUAAUCAGAAAGCCACGGCUAACUACGUG